RNAcentral lists this ribosomal RNA (304 nucleotides) under uncultured bacterium. RNAcentral's name for it is "bacterial SSU rRNA". It matches the Rfam family "Bacterial small subunit ribosomal RNA", at positions 29 to 334 of the family's 1533-position model. The record is from RNAcentral.
AACGAACGCUGGCGGCAUGCCUAACACAUGCAAGUCGAACGAAUUUAGGGGCUUCGGCCCCGACGGUUAGUGGCGGACGGGUGAGUAACGCGUAGGAACCUGCCAAGCAGUGGGGAAUAACAGCUGGAAACGGCUGCUAAUACCGCAUACGCCCCUUGGUGUAAGAGCCAUGGGGAAAGAUUUAUCGCUGUUUGAGGGUCCUGCGUUCGAUUAGCUAGUUGGUGAGGUAACGGCCCACCAAGGCGACGAUCGAUAGCUGGUCUGAGAGGAUGAUCAGCCACACUGGGACUGAGACACGGCCCAG